UACAGAGGUCCCAAGCGUUGUUCGGAUUCACUGGGCGUAGAGGGUGCGUAGGUGGUCGGGUAAGUCUGAUGUGAAAUCUCCGAGCUCAACUCGGAAAUGGCAUUGGAUACUAUUCGGCUAGAGGGUUUGAGGGGGGACUGGAAUACUUGGUGUAGCAGUGAAAUGCGUAGAUAUCAAGUGGAACACCAGUGGCGAAGGCGAGUCCCUGGAAAACUCCUGACACUGAGGCACGAAAGCUAGGGGAGCAAACAGG
Molecule: ribosomal RNA, 253 nt
Filed under: uncultured bacterium
Lineage: Bacteria
Description: partial 16S ribosomal RNA
Rfam family: Bacterial small subunit ribosomal RNA
Source: RNAcentral